UAGGGAAUCUUCGACAAUGGACGGAAGUCUGACCGAGCAACGCCGCGUGAGUGAAGAAGGCUUUCGGAUCGUAAAGCUCUGUUGUUAGAGAAGAACGUUGGUAGGAGUGUAAAAUCUACCUAUUGACGGUAACUAACCAGAAAGGGACGGCUAACUACGUGCCAGCAGCCGCGGUAAUACGUAGGUCCCGAGCGUUAUCCGGAUUUAUUGGGCGUAAAGCGAGCGCAGGAGGUUCUUUAAGUCUGAAGUUAAAGGCAGUGGCUUACCCAUUAUACGCUUUGGAAACUGGAGGACUUGAGUGCAGCAGGGGAGAGUGGAAUUCCAUGUGGAGCGGUGAAAUGCGUAGAGAUCUGGAGGAACACCGGUGGCGAAAGCGGCUCUCUGGUCUGAAACUGACGCUGAGGCUCGAAAGCGUGGGGAGCAAACAGG
This 429-nucleotide ribosomal RNA is filed under the name Bacillota bacterium. RNAcentral describes it as "Firmicutes bacterium partial 16S ribosomal RNA". It matches the Rfam family "Bacterial small subunit ribosomal RNA", at positions 355 to 776 of the family's 1533-position model. The record is from RNAcentral. Lineage: Bacteria; Bacillati; Bacillota.